This 236-nucleotide unclassified non-coding RNA is filed under the name plant metagenome. RNAcentral's name for it is "partial contains small subunit ribosomal RNA, internal transcribed spacer 1, and 5.8S ribosomal RNA". The record is from RNAcentral.
UUUCCGUAGGUGAACCUGCGGAAGGAUCAUUACCGAGUGAGGGCCCUCUGGGCCCAACCUCCCACCCGUGUUUAUCGUACCUUGUUGCUUCGGCGGGCCCGCCUCACGGCCGCCGGGGGGCACCCGCCCCCGGGCCCGCGCCCGCCGAAGACACCAUUGAACGCUGUCUGAAGAUUGCAGUCUGAGCAUCUUAGCUAAAUCAGUUAAAACUUUCAACAACGGAUCUCUUGGUUCCG